RNAcentral lists this long non-coding RNA (1540 nucleotides) under Coturnix japonica (Japanese quail). RNAcentral describes it as "lncRNA (ENSCJPG00005014933.1)". The record is from RNAcentral. Lineage: Eukaryota; Metazoa; Chordata; Aves; Galliformes; Phasianidae.
AUGUGGGUUUCUUGGUGCUGUGCUUGUGCUGAUGGUGACCUCGUGUUGUUCAUCAUCUCCUUUGGGACCUGGCUGCAGCUCUCAGCAUCUCCCAGCAUUGGCCUCGCUUUCCAGAACGGCACCUACGAGCUCAGCAGACAGCUCAACAUUCUCAUCUUGUUUUUUCCUGACCUGGAACGAAGCCACGUUUCAAACUAUGGAUGUUUUGAGACAGACCGUACCUUCUUCAAAGCGCUGGACCUCUGCUCCAGUCCAACUUCGGCAGAGCAACUGGCUGUCGCCGGCGUGGCUGGGAAUUUUAUAGGGGUUUGCAGCUGCACCCGUUCAGACGGCUGCACUGAGACUGUUCCAGCAGUCUUUGCUUUCAGCUCCAGGGGUGGACGCUACAAAUCACGAGUAGCUUUUGUAUUAUGGUCCCACCAAGGAAUGCUAAUCAUGAACUCAGCUCCCUCAGUGAUGGGUACUCUGUGCGUUUCUUGGAGUCUGAGCUCUGUAGGACCUUUGGGUAAUGAAGCCCAAUUGGAGAAAGCAACGCCAUGAGCAUUAGAAUAAGGUACGGUGCAAAUGGACACACCUGGGCUGCCUGGUUUGAACCAGCAUUGCUAUACAGAUGCUGGGAAAGAGUUAUCCCAGGGCAUCUUUCCAUUGCCAUUCCCAGGCCCCAAGCACUUGCUCACCCGCUUUAUGCAACUGAAAUCCCGCUCUGGUUUGUUGGCGUAAUAUCGGCACACCCUUUUUUAUUAACGCAGAGCUCACGGGGGAAGGAGAAGUUGAUGGGGUGGGGACCCCUUGGUUUAGCAGCGCCAGUUCCACACCCACCCUUCAGCUGGUCUGCUUGCGAUCAUCGUUCUGGGGAGCAGCGGACCAGGUCAAUUACUCCAUAACAGCUCCAUCUAUGACUCUUCGGUCAUGCAGCUGUAUCAGAAUUACAACAAAAACAGCCUCAGUUAUCCUAGUUGGAUGUGAAAGUAGACGCGUGUUCCAUGAGAAGCGGUGAUGCCAGAAUGUGGAGGUCAAUGUUGUUCAGUGUUUUUUUGGCAAAAGAAAAACCUAUCGUAUGGAAGCCGGUGCCUGGGGAAUCUCCAUGGAGCAGCGAGAUGAGCUCUGUGCACGACUGGAGAUAAUGGGGCUUGGGGAGAUGAUUGAGCCAGGGAAUAUUGGAGAGCAGCUCAGCAUGGCUGCCAACAACCCCCCCAAGCCCAGUGGCCACCCUUCUUUGAGAUGAAGUCAUUGGAAGCAACAAAGUGAUUUAUCUGGGGAGCCAACCUGCCUCCAGAAUGCCUGAAGGCAAUAGUGUGUUUCUGGUACAUCUGGAGCCAUAUUAUGAGUAGGUAUUUGUAUUCUCGGCCAUCUGUGCAUACGGGUGCUAGCGAUACGGCCUCGUUCCCCCCAGUCAGCUCAAAGUUGCCAAGUUUCCUUCUUUAUUUCUAUUCCCCCCCCCUGCUUCCCUCCAGCAAAAGGCUCCCAGCUCUUCUUUCCUGGAGACCGAGGUGCUUAGCACUGUCAGCACCGCAUGAGCCAUCCCUGCAGUAACAGACCU